This 74-nucleotide transfer RNA is filed under the name Propionibacteriaceae bacterium. Its description in RNAcentral is "tRNA-Arg". It matches the Rfam family "tRNA". Rfam says of the family: Transfer RNA (tRNA) molecules are approximately 80 nucleotides in length. Their secondary structure includes four short double-helical elements and three loops (D, anti-codon, and T loops). Further hydrogen bonds mediate the characteristic L-shaped molecular structure. tRNAs have two regions of fundamental functional importance: the anti-codon, which is responsible for specific mRNA codon recognition, and the 3' end, to which the tRNAs corresponding amino acid is attached (by aminoacyl-tRNA synthetases). tRNAs cope with the degeneracy of the genetic code in two manners: having more than one tRNA (with a specific anti-codon) for a particular amino acid; and 'wobble' base-pairing, i.e. permitting non-standard base-pairing at the 3rd anti-codon position. The record is from RNAcentral. Lineage: Bacteria; Bacillati; Actinomycetota; Actinomycetes; Propionibacteriales; Propionibacteriaceae.
GGCCCCGUAGCUCAGUCGGAUAGAGCAUCAGACUUCUAAUCUGCCGGUCGAGAGUUCGAAUCUCUCCGGGGUCG